This 247-nucleotide long non-coding RNA is filed under the name Nicotiana benthamiana. RNAcentral describes it as "long non-coding RNA (NBEN_LNC025071)". Lineage: Eukaryota; Viridiplantae; Streptophyta; Magnoliopsida; Solanales; Solanaceae. The record is from RNAcentral.
CACAAAUAAAGCCCCUAACAAUUUGGAAUAAUUAGAUCAGAUACAUAUCAUUAACAACAGUUAGUUGACACCAUAACGUUAAAUAAUGAAUUAAAAGAGAAGAGCUACAUGGUGAAAAUAAUAGAAGUGUAGUACUUUAAGUAUUAAUUUCUCAGGAGAGGGCUUAAAGAGGAGCUGAAAAUUUAAGUAGUCAAAUUUAGAAAUGAAGAGGUUGGAUUAUUUCUACUCAAACUGAGGAGGAAAAAUG